This 406-nucleotide ribosomal RNA is filed under the name uncultured bacterium. RNAcentral describes it as "partial 16S ribosomal RNA". It matches the Rfam family "Bacterial small subunit ribosomal RNA", at positions 29 to 526 of the family's 1533-position model. The record is from RNAcentral.
AUUGAACGCUGGCGGCAGGCCUAACACAUGCAAGUCGAACGAGUGGCGGACGGGUGAGUAAUGUCUGGGAAACUGCCCGAUGGAGGGGGAUAACUACUGGAAACGGUAGCUAAUACCGCAUACCAUCGGAUGUGCCCAGAUGGGAGUAGCUAGUAGGUGGGGUAACGGCGCACCUAGGCGACGAGCCCUAGCUGGUCUGAGAGGAUGACCAGCCAAACUGGAACUGAGACACGGUCGAGACGCCUACGGGAGGCAGCAGUGGGAAAUAUUGCACAAGGGGCGCAAGCCGGAUGGAGCCAUGCGGCGGGUAUGAAGAAGGCCGUCGGGUUGUAAAGUACUUUCAGCGAGGAGGCGUUACUCGCAGAAGAAGCACCGGCUAACUCCGUGCCAGCAGCCGCGGUAAUUC